Molecule: ribosomal RNA, 502 nt
Filed under: Escherichia coli
Lineage: Bacteria; Pseudomonadati; Pseudomonadota; Gammaproteobacteria; Enterobacterales; Enterobacteriaceae
Description: partial 23S ribosomal RNA
Rfam family: Bacterial large subunit ribosomal RNA
Source: RNAcentral
CUGAAUGGAAGGGCCAUCGCUCAACGGAUAAAAGGUACUCCGGGGAUAACAGGCUGAUACCGCCCAAGAGUUCAUAUCGACGGCGGUGUUUGGCACCUCGAUGUCGGCUCAUCACAUCCUGGGGCUGAAGUAGGUCCCAAGGGUAUGGCUGUUCGCCAUUUAAAGUGGUACGCGAGCUGGGUUUAGAACGUCGUGAGACAGUUCGGUCCCUAUCUGCCGUGGGCGCUGGAGAACUGAGGGGGGCUGCUCCUAGUACGAGAGGACCGGAGUGGACGCAUCACUGGUGUUCGGGUUGUCAUGCCAAUGGCACUGCCCGGUAGCUAAAUGCGGAAGAGAUAAGUGCUGAAAGCAUCUAAGCACGAAACUUGCCCCGAGAUGAGUUCUCCCUGAGACUUAGAGUCUCCUGAAGGAACGUUGAAGACGACGACGUUGAUAGGCCGGGUGUGUAAGCGCAGCGAUGCGUUGAGCUAACCGGUACUAAUGAACCGUGAGGCUUAACCUU